UGGACGAAAGUCUGACCGAGCAACGCCGCGUGAGUGAAGAAGGUUUUCGGAUCGUAAAGCUCUGUUGUAAGUCAAGAACGUGUGUGAGAGUGGAAAGUUCACACAGUGACGGUAGCUUACCAGAAAGGGACGGCUAACUACGUGCCAGCAGCCGCGGUAAUACGUAGGUCCCGAGCGUUGUCCGGAUUUAUUGGGCGUAAAGGGAGCGCAGGCGGUCAGGAAAGUCUGGAGUAAAAGGCUAUGGCUCAACCAUAGUGUGCUCUGGAAACUGUCUGACUUGAGUGCAGAAGGGGAGAGUGGAAUUCCAUGUGUAGCGGUGAAAUGCGUAGAUAUAUGGAGGAACACCAGUGGCGAAAGCGGCUCUCUGGUCUGUCACUGACGCUGAGGCUCGAAAGCGUGGGUAGCGAACAGGAUUAGAUACCCUGGUAGUCCACGCCGUAAACGAUGAGUGCUAGGUGUUAGGCCCUUUCCGGGGCUUAGUGCCGGAGCUAACGCAAUAAGCACUCCGCCUGGGGAGUACGACCGCAAGGUUGAAACUCAAAGGAAUUGACGGGGGCCCGCACAAGCGGUGGA
RNAcentral lists this ribosomal RNA (573 nucleotides) under Streptococcus mutans. RNAcentral's name for it is "bacterial SSU rRNA". It matches the Rfam family "Bacterial small subunit ribosomal RNA", at positions 372 to 936 of the family's 1533-position model. Lineage: Bacteria; Bacillati; Bacillota; Bacilli; Lactobacillales; Streptococcaceae. The record is from RNAcentral.